CAGUAGCCGCGGUAAAACCAGCAGCCCAAGUGGUGGUCGCGAUUAUUGGGCCUAAAGCGCUCGUAGCCGGGCCGGUAAGUCCCUUGUGAAAUCGGACGGCCUAACCGUUCGGCAUGCAAGGGAUACUGUCGGUCUUGAGGCCGGGAGACGUCCGAGGUACUCCGGGGGUAGCGGUGAAAUGUUCUGAUCCUCGGGGGACCACCGGUGGCGAAGGCGUUCGACGAGAACGGGCCUGACGGUGAGGGGCGAAGGCUAGGGGAGCAAACGGGAUUAGAUACCCCCGUAGUCCCUGUCUCUUAUA
RNAcentral lists this ribosomal RNA (301 nucleotides) under uncultured bacterium. Its description in RNAcentral is "partial 16S ribosomal RNA". It matches the Rfam family "Archaeal small subunit ribosomal RNA", at positions 459 to 759 of the family's 1478-position model. The record is from RNAcentral.